CUCUUAUCAAGAGAGGUGGAGGGACUUGGCCCAGUGAAGCCUCGGCAACCGACUAUAUCGGUGCCAAAUCCAGCAGAGAUUUCUGAGAGAUAAGGG
Molecule: non-coding RNA, 96 nt
Filed under: Lysinibacillus sphaericus
Lineage: Bacteria; Bacillati; Bacillota; Bacilli; Caryophanales; Bacillaceae
Description: SAM-I sequence
Rfam family: SAM riboswitch aptamer (S box leader)
About the family: The SAM riboswitch is found upstream of a number of genes which code for proteins involved in methionine or cysteine biosynthesis in Gram-positive bacteria.
Source: RNAcentral